This 253-nucleotide ribosomal RNA is filed under the name uncultured bacterium. RNAcentral describes it as "partial 16S ribosomal RNA". It matches the Rfam family "Bacterial small subunit ribosomal RNA", at positions 524 to 776 of the family's 1533-position model. The record is from RNAcentral.
UACGUAGGUGGCGAGCGUUAUCCGGAAUGAUUGGGCGUAAAGGGAACGCAGGCGGUCUUUUAAGUCUGAUGUGAAAGCCUUCGGCUUAACCGGAGUAGUGCAUUGGAAACUGGGAGACUUGAGUGCAGAAGAGGAGAGUGGAACUCCAUGUGUAGCGGUGAAAUGCGUAGAUAUAUGGAAGAACACCAGUGGCGAAAGCGGCUCUCUGGUCUGUAACUGACGCUGAGGUUCGAAAGCGUGGGGAGCAAACAGG